CUCAGAGUAGCAAAGGCAAAAGAGCAGUUACUAGGAAACCAGAGCAUCCAAGUCGGAGAGGGGCCGCUUCCUCUCUGAAGCAUCGGAGAUCAGGUUUAUAUCUCUAAGAAGAGAAAUGAUAGAUGGCAGAGAGACAGGAAAUACAGCCAAGAAGAUUUUGAGGGAAACAGAACUCUUAAUUUCUUAAGCAACAACUCUCAAGACCACUAACAAAAGUCUGGGUGAGACACAGUGCCCAUGAGAAGCAGGAGCCACGUGGCCACUGAGGAUGACACAUUCAAUCUGAGAAGACCAGGGCGUUGCAGCAGAGGCUUUCCAUGCUGCAGUUAGAGAAACUCGUGAUCCAAGAAGAACUGAGUCCAAUCAAAUAGAGACACUGUUGACAAACUGCAAACGCAGCGCUGCUGGGAAGGCCUCUGGGGGUGUCCUGCCGAGCGCCAGCCCGCACUCCCA
Molecule: long non-coding RNA, 453 nt
Filed under: Vulpes vulpes (red fox)
Lineage: Eukaryota; Metazoa; Chordata; Mammalia; Carnivora; Canidae
Description: lncRNA (ENSVVUG00000001648.1)
Source: RNAcentral